CGAGCGGUAACAGGGGAAGCUUGCUUCCCGCUGACGAGCGGCGGACGGGUGAGUAAUGCUUAGGAAUCUGCCCAGUAGUGGGGGAUAGCCCGGGGAAACCCGGAUUAAUACCGCAUACGUCCUACGGGAGAAAGCAGGGGAUCUUCGGACCUUGCGCUAUUGGAUGAGCCUAAGUCGGAUUAGCUAGUUGGUGGGGUAAAGGCCUACCAAGGCGACGAUCCGUAGCUGGUCUGAGAGGAUGAUCAGCCACAUCGGGACUGAGACACGGCCCGAACUCCUACGGGAGGCAGCAGUGGGGAAUAUUGGACAAUGGGGGCAACCCUGAUCCAGCCAUGCCGCGUGUGUGAAGAAGGCUUUCGGGUUGUAAAGCACUUUCAGUAGGGAGGAGAACCUUAUGGCUAAUACCCAUGAAGCUUG
This 417-nucleotide ribosomal RNA is filed under the name Marinobacter nauticus. RNAcentral's name for it is "bacterial SSU rRNA". It matches the Rfam family "Bacterial small subunit ribosomal RNA", at positions 63 to 471 of the family's 1533-position model. The record is from RNAcentral. Lineage: Bacteria; Pseudomonadati; Pseudomonadota; Gammaproteobacteria; Pseudomonadales; Marinobacteraceae.